AUUAGCAUUCUGACUUUAACAUUGUUUUCAAUAAUAAGGUCAAGCUUUGUUCGACAGUCCAUACGACUCAUCUGCGCUCACACAAAGGAAAGAUCCAUGCUAUAAACAACGCAUUCGAAAAUAUGUAACGACCGGUUCGAAUCGCCACUUGGCACUGUGACGUAUGCACGGUGACGUAGGCCGUCGGUGGCCAAUCACCUCCCUGAAAUCAUCGGCAAUUAGCUUGGAGGGAGGCUCGUCUCCGAGACGAUAAAGGACCGCCGCUGCGCCGCGGAACCGAUUUCGCUUGCAGAUCACCGCUUAAACCGCUUUUCGUACACGACCGCUGUUACACCGCCUUUACCGCAAAUUCGUGCUCGCUUGCUUGCGUCGCGUUGCCGUAUAGCUUCAGUACGCGCUCUCGGUUCGUUGCUUGUGCUAAAAAUACAAGGAACUCUGUACACCUUUGUAAAUACCUGUAUAUAUUUCAUUUUGCAAUUAUAGACAUUAUUUUUUGUGUUACUCGCUGCGUCGUUUUUUGUGGUCGUCUUUCACCUCGCGCUAUCUCGCGCUACCGCGCGCUCUCGAACAGGAUUGUAAUAAAAUGAUACCAAUUUAAUUAAUUAAAUUAAAUCGGCUUCUACGAACAUGAAAGAAGUAACAACACGGUGAGUGAGUAAGAUCGUGGAAAUGGAAAUUCUAAUUACGAAAACGAUCGUGUCAGCUGGAGACCGUAACGAAGCUGGCCCACCUCAACAAUGAAAGGUCAGCACACGCAGCGAGAGCUUAUCCCGGUGUAUAUGCAAAAAUCAGGGAGUGAAGGAUGUUUCAACCCUUUAACUGAUCGUACAGAGGCAUGACCUUCAAAGAGGCUGCGAAGAGAAAAACAUGGUUCAAGACGAGUAAAGACUAGAGAGAAAGAAAAGGAGAAGAAGUCGGGGGUGCCUACCUGACAGGCGUAACGGCGUGGAGGCGCCGGAGCGGCAGAGGAUGAGAUUGAGCACGACGGGAUGGAGAGAAAAGGCGGAGGAGCGGUGAGACGGUCUUUGGACUGACAAACAAAAAACUAUUAUAAAAAAAAAUUUGCACAAUACUUUAAAAAGAAUAAGGAUGGGAGAAAAUAGCCGACCGAAGACGAAGUUCAAGCAGUAUAAAUUGACGAAUAUCACCCAGUUUUCCAAAGACAUAACCCCGCAACAAUAAUAACAUAAAUGGGCAACGAAGAGAAACUAUUAGCGCAGCGACAGUCUUUCUUAAUUCCACGCGAGAAAAGAAAAAACAUAGGAAAACCUGUGUUUAGUGUAAUACCCGUCUGUCCGAAGAGAAUUGCACGCUGCAUCGUCACGCCAUCGCAACUUCACUCUUAGCUCCAAGACAAAUGUCAAUUAUUCAUUCGACACGCUCGGUCGCCAAGACUUCUGUCGGCAAAAGUUCGCCGGCAAAUUCGCGGAGAACACUGUCCGCCACGAGAAUAAUUAAUUAUUUCGCAAGUAAUAGCAGAGCACGCGCUAUUUCGUGUCCACGCUCGAGACGCGCAGGCGCAAAUCCCAUAGGCUCCUCGCAAAUUCUAUAGGCGAUACCCACCAAGGCUCACGGGGUCCGAUGACUCGCGAUUUCCGAGCGGCAAACAGGCAUAAUUUCACUGCGAUUCGAUCACCAUCGAGAUUCGAGUCCUUGUAUCUAUUGUAUUCGUCUGUUCGUCACUCGACGAUUCCCGGUUAAAAUGGCAUCGGACGAUUCGUUCGCGAGUGUCAUCCGCGUGAAUAUCGCGCUUCUGAGACUCUCCGGCGUGGUGUCCUACGAGAACGGGAGUAUCCGCCGAUCGAGCUCGCAGAAUAUCCUCGGCGCGAUCGCAUACGGUUGUCUGUUCGCAUAUGCGGGCUUGUACACGUAUGAAUUCGCGUUGCGUACCGUCUACCUCGAAACCUGGAUGGAAUCAUUCGCGAUGAUACUCUCCCUCGUGGGCGGGCAGGCGCGAUUCACGAUUGUCCUCUUAUUUCGGAGUAGAUUUCAGCGAUUGCUGAUAAUCUGCGAGGAACUCUGGGCAGCGUUGAACGCGACCGAGAAAAAACACGUCUGCGAUUACGUGAAAACGACGAGACAUUUGACUUACUACUAUCUAUUCGGAUGCGCGUUCACGAUAUUCUUUUACGCCGUGGCGAGUCUCUUCAUGGGACAGCACGACGACUCGUCGAACGCGACGAUGAGAACCCUACCGUACGCUUGUCCGGUGGAAGUCCAUCGGUCGCCUUAUUACGAAAUAAUGUAUAUCGUGCAAUUGUGCAGCAUGAUAAACGUCGGUCUCACCUGCGCCGGUGCGGACACGGUCGGACCGGUGCUCGUCUUGACCGUUUGCGGCCACUUCAAGGUUCUUAACACGCGAAUUUUACAUCUAAGCGAUCGCGACCGCGUAUAUUCAGAAAAAUCGUGUUCAACUGCCACUCAUGAGUCGCACAAAAUAACGCGUGAGAACGACAUACCAAAAAAUCGUGCGAAAUUUAAUCUCAAAGCCUGCGUGUGCUAUCAUCAGACGAUGCUCGAACUUUGCAAAGAAGUCGAGAAUCUAACCAACAGCAUCUUUUUGACGCAACUGGUCGGCAGUACAUACAACGUCUCUCUCGUGGGAUUUAAACUAGCGGGGGAUGAUCCUGAUAAAUUUAAAUAUACAACACAACUGUUAAUUGCAAUAAUUCAACUGUUUUUGUGUAACUGGGCGGCGAACGUUCUUCUCACCGAGAGCCAAGACGUAGCAAGAGCGAUAUACUUCACGCCAUGGUAUCGUUUCCCGUAUCAACUAAAAAAAUCUCUACAUAUUAUCACAAUGAGAUCUCAGAAACCAGCGCAGCUGACCGCCGGCUCCAUCAUACCGUUAUCCUUGCAAACAUUCGCAUCUAUGUUACACCAUUUCACGGGGUACGGCAAUGUGCAGAUUGUGUGGGCGCAUAAACAAAAUGUAUAAUAAAAACCAUGCUCGGAAGUUGACAAAACAUGUAACAGAACACCAUCCCAACUGGAGAAAUGAACUUCCCUCGAAGGGUGGUGCGAAACUGUGAAAAGCGCGAUCGCAAAGAUGCGAUAUAGUCUUUGCUGCAUCAUCCAUAGAGUUUACGUUUUAAUUGUAAGAGAGCCUCGCGAAUAUUAGCGGUCUCAUUCUUUAUCUUCUCUUAUUAGUGUCGUAAUGAUCCAAAACAAUUAUUAGAUUAAAUUAAACUUCUCACUUAAUUUUGCGUUAUCCGUUGUCGCGUAUUAUUCGCGCUUCGACAUUGUUUGGCGUGAUAUUCGCGUUUGAUAUUACUUCGCGUUUUCAUACGCAACUCGUUCUUUAGCAUCUUGUGAACAAACUUGAUUACAGUUUAAUAGACUGGGGCAACUGCCUCAAUCGUUCUUAUUAUUAUCCCGCGAAUUACUUCAAAUAUUGUUAAUAAACCGUACAUCAUUUUUAUUAUA
RNA transcript from Temnothorax curvispinosus, 3426 nucleotides. It is a transcript of the gene named odorant receptor 49b-like, with no coding region annotated. Lineage: Eukaryota; Metazoa; Arthropoda; Insecta; Hymenoptera; Formicidae. The transcript has 7 exons. The record is from RefSeq and is a predicted model, not a curated record.